CCUACGGGAGGCAGCAGUGAGGAAUAUUGGUCAAUGGCCGGGAGGCUGAACCAGCCAAGUCGCGUGAGGGAAGACGGCCCUACGGGUUGUAAACCUCUUUUGUCAGGGAGCAAGGUGCAGGUCGGGACCUGCUGUGAGAGUACCUGAAGAAAAAGCAUCGGCUAACUCCGUGCCAGCAGCCGCGGUAAUACGGAGGAUGCGAGCGUUAUCCGGAUUUAUUGGGUUUAAAGGGUGCGCAGGCGGAGGCACAAGUCAGCGGUAAAAUCGCGGGGCUCAACCCCGCUCCGCCGUUGAAACUGUGGCCCUUGAGUGCGCGAAGGGUAGGCGGAAGGCGUGGUGUAGCGGUGAAAUGCAGAGAUAUCACGCAGAACUCCGAUCGCGAAGGCAGCCUACCGGCGCGCAACUGACGCUCAUGCACGAAAGCGUGGGUAUCGAACAGGAUUAGAUACCCGGGUAGUC
Molecule: ribosomal RNA, 459 nt
Filed under: uncultured bacterium
Lineage: Bacteria
Description: partial 16S ribosomal RNA
Rfam family: Bacterial small subunit ribosomal RNA
Source: RNAcentral